Molecule: ribosomal RNA, 518 nt
Filed under: uncultured Lachnospiraceae bacterium
Lineage: Bacteria; Bacillati; Bacillota; Clostridia; Lachnospirales; Lachnospiraceae
Description: bacterial SSU rRNA
Rfam family: Bacterial small subunit ribosomal RNA
Source: RNAcentral
UAGAGAGUUUGUAGUCCUGGCUCAGGAUGAACGCUGGCGGCGUGCUUAACACAUGCAAGUCGAACGGAGAUAUCAUUUUCGUAAGCGAUUAGUUUACUAAGAGCGGAGAUGUUGCUAUCUUAGUGGCGGACGGGUGAGUAACGCGUGGGUAACCUGCCUUGCACUGGGGGAUAACACUUAGAAAUAGGUGCUAAUACCGCAUAACAGUAGGAGACGCAUGUCUUUUACUUGAAAACUCCGGUGGUGUAAGAUGGACCCGCGUCUGAUUAGCUUGUUGGCGGGGUAACGGCCCACCAAGGCAACGAUCAGUAGCCGGCCUGAGAGGGUGAACGGCCACAUUGGGACUGAGACACGGCCCAAACUCCUACGGGAAGCAGCAGUGGGGAAUAUUGGACAAUGGGGGGAACCCUGAUCCAGCGACGCCGCGUGAGUGAAGAAGUAUUUCGGUAUGUAAAGCUCUAUCAGCAGGGAAGAAAGAAAUGACGGUACCUGACUAAGAAGCCCCGGCUAACUACGUG